Molecule: long non-coding RNA, 434 nt
Organism: Xenopus laevis (African clawed frog)
Lineage: Eukaryota; Metazoa; Chordata; Amphibia; Anura; Pipidae
Exons: 2
Source: RefSeq, a predicted model, not a curated record
UCGAUCGAUCGCAGGAUUAGCGCUAAAUCCUUCGACUUCGAUAUUCGAAUAUUUUUAACUUCGAAAUUCGACCCUUAGUGAAUCUGCCCCUAAAUACUUUGAUUAUAUUUAGAAUGGUAUUUGUAAAUGAACGCACUGUAAUACCAAUGGACUAAUAAUAUUGAGGUGCAAAAAAUAGCAUUUUUCAUGCAUUUUUCAAGCCGUGUGCUCCUCCUUGAGUAUAGAAAACAAUUUGUGUAAUAUUUUGCAUGCAUCUUGCAAAACAUAAGCAUAAGAAAACUAAUAGCAUAGGGUUUUAAGCACAGGCAGAAAAAAAGUAUCCAUUCAUUAUACUUUAAAAGUUGAUUCAUAGACAUUUACACAUCACCAUAUAACUUAAAUAUUUUGCUUGUUAAAAGUCUUUAUAUUUGAAUAAAUAUAAUACUUUUCAAAUA